GGGUGCGUCGCAUAGCGGCAAUUGCAGCGGACUGUAGAUCCGCCGGCUUACGCCUACGGGGGUUCGAGUCCCUCCGCACCCA
Non-coding RNA from Candidatus Lloydbacteria bacterium, 82 nucleotides. NCBI's taxonomy places the organism in Bacteria, Candidatus Lloydiibacteriota. The record is from Rfam.